CGCGGGGUGGAGCAGUCUGGUAGCUCGUCGGGCUCAUAACCCGAAGGUCGUAGGUUCAAAUCCUUCCCCCGCAACCA
Molecule: transfer RNA, 77 nt
Filed under: Burkholderiales bacterium
Lineage: Bacteria; Pseudomonadati; Pseudomonadota; Betaproteobacteria; Burkholderiales
Also listed under: 9 other names
Description: tRNA-fMet
Rfam family: tRNA
About the family: Transfer RNA (tRNA) molecules are approximately 80 nucleotides in length. Their secondary structure includes four short double-helical elements and three loops (D, anti-codon, and T loops).
Source: RNAcentral